This 485-nucleotide ribosomal RNA is filed under the name uncultured Lachnospiraceae bacterium. Its description in RNAcentral is "bacterial SSU rRNA". It matches the Rfam family "Bacterial small subunit ribosomal RNA", at positions 38 to 507 of the family's 1533-position model. The record is from RNAcentral. Lineage: Bacteria; Bacillati; Bacillota; Clostridia; Lachnospirales; Lachnospiraceae.
GGCGGCGUGCUACAACAUAGCAAGUCGAACGAACGAACUCGUGCGGCGGAACGUACUCCGGACGGGAAGGACGCGGCAGGACGUGAGUGGUCGGACGGGUGGAGGUAACGCGUGGGUAACCUGCCCUGUACAGGGGGACGAACAGCUGGAAACGGCUGCUAAUACCGCAUAAGCCUACAGUACCGCAUGGUACAGCAGGAAAAACUACCGGUGGUACAGGAUGGGCCCGCGUCUGAUUAGUUAGUUGGCAGGGUAACGGCCUACCAAGACAACGAUCAGUAGCCGGCUUGAGAGAGUGGACGGCCACAUUGGGGCUGAGACACGGCCCAAACUCCUACGGGAGGCAGCAGUGGGGAAUAUUGCACAAUGGGGGGAACCCUGAUGCAGCAACGCCGCGUGAGUGAAGAAGUAUUUCGGUAUGUAAAGCUCUAUCAGCAGGGAAGAAAAUGACGGUACCUGACUAAGAAGCUCCGGCUAAAUACGUG